UACAGAGACUGCAAGCGUUAUUCGGAUUCACUGGGCGUAAAGGGUGCGCAGGCGGCCGAGUGUGUGAGGCGUGAAAGCCCGGGGCUUAACCCCGGAAUUGCACCUCAAACUACACGGCUAGAGCAUUGGAGAGGGUGGCAGAAUUCAUGGUGUAGCAGUGAAAUGCGUAGAUAUCAUGAGGAAUACCAGAGGCGAAGGCGGCUACCUGGACAAUUGCUGACGCUCAGGCACGAAAGCGUGGGGAGCAAAAGGG
RNAcentral lists this ribosomal RNA (253 nucleotides) under uncultured bacterium. RNAcentral's name for it is "partial 16S ribosomal RNA". It matches the Rfam family "Bacterial small subunit ribosomal RNA", at positions 524 to 776 of the family's 1533-position model. The record is from RNAcentral.